CUGAACUUUGGAGAAUCACUAUUUUUACUUAGGUACUUGAUUCUUAAAUGGCUAUGACAUGGAUUUACUUAAUCGCUGGAGUAAUAUGCAGUUGAGAUAAUCACUGGCAAAUGUAUUUUUGCAUCAGUCAGUAUGUUUACAUGCCCAC
This is a long non-coding RNA of Etheostoma spectabile (orangethroat darter), 148 nucleotides long. RefSeq lists it as uncharacterized. NCBI's taxonomy places the organism in Eukaryota, Metazoa, Chordata, Actinopteri, Perciformes, Percidae. The transcript has 3 exons. The record is from RefSeq and is a predicted model, not a curated record.